CCUACGGGUGGCAGCAGUCGAGAAUCAUUCACAAUGGGGGAAACCCUGAUGGUGCGACGCCGCGUGGGGGAAUGAAGGUCUUCGGAUUGUAAACCCCUGUCAUGUGGGAGCAAAUUAAAAAGAUAGUACCACAAGAGGAAGAGACGGCUAACUCUGUGCCAGCAGCCGCGGUAAUACAGAGGUCGCAAGCGUUGUUCGGAAUCACUGGGCGUAAGGCGUGCGUAGGCGGUUUCGUAAGUCGUGUGUGAAAGGCGCGGGCUCAACCCGCGGACGGCACAUGAUACUGCGAGACUAGAGUAAUGGAGGGGGAACCGGAAUUCUCGGUGUAGCAGUGAAAUGCGUAGAUAUCGAGAGGAACACUCGUGGCGAAGGCGGGUUCCUGGACAUUAACUGACGCUGAGGCACGAAGGCCAGGGGAGCGAAAGGGAUUAGAUACCCCAGUAGUC
RNAcentral lists this ribosomal RNA (446 nucleotides) under uncultured bacterium. Its description in RNAcentral is "partial 16S ribosomal RNA". It matches the Rfam family "Bacterial small subunit ribosomal RNA", at positions 338 to 795 of the family's 1533-position model. The record is from RNAcentral.